CAACGCCGCGUGCAGGAUGACACUUUCGGAGCGUAAACUGCUUUCUCGGGACGAGUAAGGACGGUACCCGAGGAAUCAGCCCGGCUAACUACGUGC
This 96-nucleotide ribosomal RNA is filed under the name uncultured bacterium. RNAcentral's name for it is "partial 16S ribosomal RNA". The record is from RNAcentral.